Molecule: long non-coding RNA, 257 nt
Filed under: Homo sapiens (human)
Lineage: Eukaryota; Metazoa; Chordata; Mammalia; Primates; Hominidae
Description: long non-coding RNA NONHSAT235355
Source: RNAcentral
CUGAUAUUAAGGCCAGCUUGAAAUUGAGUUAACUCUAGAUCUGACCCAGCGUAAUCCUGCAAGCCCUCAAAUCUAUUACAGAGUUUGCAGACUGAAAGAGAGUCUAGCUAAGGCUUGCUCCUCAUACCCAGGAUUUGAUCUAAUCCAACAAGCCUUUGUAUGACCUUUGACCUCAGUGUGUUCAGUACUUUGUCAGAUCACUUUUACUCAUCAUCAUUGUUCCAAUACUGCAAGGAAUCUGUAUAUUUGUUUAUUUC